Molecule: ribosomal RNA, 391 nt
Filed under: uncultured bacterium
Lineage: Bacteria
Description: bacterial SSU rRNA
Rfam family: Bacterial small subunit ribosomal RNA
Source: RNAcentral
GACGAACGCUGGCGGCGUGCUUAACACAUGCAAGUCGAGCGGUAAGGCCCUUUCGGGGGUACGACGAGCGGCGAACGGGUGAGUAACACGUGGGUGACCUGCCCUCAGCUCUGGGAUAAGCCUGGGAAACCGGGUCUAAUACUGGAUAUGACUCCAUGACGCAUGUUGGUGGGGUGGAAAGCCUUGUGCGGCUGAGGAUGGGCCCGCGGCCUAUCAGCUUGUUGGUGGGGGUGANGGCCUACCAAGGCGACGACGGGUAGCCGGCCUGAGAGGGCGACCGGCCACACUGGGACUGAGACACGGCCCAGACUCCUACGGGAGGCAGCAGUGGGGAAUCCUGCGCAAUGGGCGAAAGCCUGACGCAGCGACGCCGCGUGAGGGAUGACGGCCU